CUACGGGGUGCUCCAGUGAGGAAUAUUGCACCAUGGGGGGAACCCUGAUGCAGCAACGCCGCGUGGAGGAUGACGCAUUUCGGCGUGUAAACUCCUUUUAUAUGUCAAGAAAAUGACGGUAGCAUAUGAAUAAGCACCGGCUAACUCCGUGCCAGCAGCCGCGGUAAUACGGAGGGUGCAAGCGUUACUCGGAAUCACUGGGCGUAAAGGACGCGUAGGCGGGUUGGAAAGUCAGGUGUGAAAUCCUACAGCUUAACUGUAGAACUGCACUUGAAACUUCUAAUCUAGAGUAUGGGAGGGGGAGAUGGAGUUAGUGGUGUAGGGGUAAAAUCCGUAGAUAUCACUAGGAAUACCUAAAGCGAAGGCGAUCUCCUGGAACAUUACUGACGCUAAGGCGUGAAAGCGUGGGGAGCAAACAGGAUUAGAUACCCCGGUAGUC
RNAcentral lists this ribosomal RNA (439 nucleotides) under uncultured bacterium. RNAcentral's name for it is "partial 16S ribosomal RNA". It matches the Rfam family "Bacterial small subunit ribosomal RNA", at positions 339 to 795 of the family's 1533-position model. The record is from RNAcentral.